RNAcentral lists this long non-coding RNA (4801 nucleotides) under Vitis vinifera (wine grape). Its description in RNAcentral is "long non-coding RNA (VVIN_LNC000755)". Lineage: Eukaryota; Viridiplantae; Streptophyta; Magnoliopsida; Vitales; Vitaceae. The record is from RNAcentral.
CUCCAAAUAUUGAAUAAUUAUUUUAACUACUUAUUUACAAAUUACAUAUAAAUUUAUCAAUUAUAUCAAAAGAUUUCAACAAGAAUGUGUAAUUCCUUCAACAUUAGGCCAAACAUUAAUACAAUGACUAAUAAGAGAAACCAUAAUCUACAAAAAUCUAGUUCAACCUUUCAAGUAGCCCAUUGAUAGAAUCUUCAUGGUUUUCAAUAUCACCUCCUUCAACAUAACAAUUUCUCUAUUUUUGGUAAAUUUGUUUCCUUUGCAACCUAUAUAAAAAAAAUAAAAUAAUAAAUAAAUAAAGAUAGAAAGAAUACAAAACCUUUAAACUACAUGCAACAAUCAAUAAGUAUAAUUGAAGUUAUAAAUCUUCACAAAAAUUAAUUCAACUUUGCUCACCACCAUAAACUCCCUAGUUAAAGCAAAAAAUUUCUUAAGGGAUUCCCUUGAAGUGGGUUCUUAGUUAGGACUAAGCAAAAACUUGGUACAUUUAGCAACAUGUUUCUCAUUACUAAUAUUGAUGAAAAAAAUAUGGUUAGAGAUUUUCAUUGUUAGAAGAUAUGAAAUAGCGGUCGAUAAUGUUGAGGAAAAGAGUAACAACUAAGAAACAUGAUUUAAGAGUAUUUAGGAAUUAAAACGAUGAAUAUCUAAUAUUUCUAUUUAUUAGUAAAUUCUAUAUGUUAUAUAAUUCUUAGUUUUUGGAGGAUUAAUUGUGAUUAUCGUUUCUUGUGUAUAUAAGUUAUCCUCUAAUUGGAUAGGUUAAUAGAGUCACCAACAAUUGAGAAUAAAAGAGAAAUAGGAACUAAAGAGCAGUUUUUUCAUAGUUAAUGUAUAGUCUGAAUAAAUAAAUUGAUUAAGAAUACUAAUAUAUCUUGGAUUAAUAACAAAUAUUAUUUGCCCAUUUCCUACAAAUGUUAUUAAUAACAAAUAAAUUUAAGAACACUAUAGAAAUCUUUUGGUAAAAUUAAAAUUCACAAAUAAAAAAUUACAAAAUUAGAAAAUUAAAAAAAUGAUAAUAAAAUAGUGUAAAAUUAUUAAGGCUAUAACAAAUUAAUAAAAUAUUCUAAAUAUAUAUUCAAAUGCUAACUAAACUUAUGUAGGAAAUGAAUAGGAUUGUUUACCCAUGAAUUCCAAACUUUCUUUAAACUAAAUUUGCCCAUUUUUAUUUAUGUUAAGUAAUAGAGCAUCUAACACAAUCAUUCCGAUAUACACAAUAAUAGACUUAUUCAAUUGGCAAGUAAUUACUUUAGUGAAAAUGAAGCAUAUAGAAAUAAAAAUUUAUAAUUCCCUAAUUAAUUGCAUUUCCUAUAUGCAUGCUAUUUUCUAAGCAAUGCAAUGGAGACUUUGAGAUUGAGUACUAUUCAAGUUUUAAGUCACAUAUGUAAACCCAUAGGUAUUGAAUUGCCUUGUUAAUUAUAGGAAAAACACCUUGCAAUUUUCUCAUAAUUAGAAUAGCAAAACUAGUAAAAGAAAAGAAAACGGGAAAAAGUCUACAAAAUAUUUUCCAUUAAAGAAUAGAAACAAAGCCCAAACAAUAAUUAAUGAAACAAAAGAAGUUAAUAAAAACAUAACACAGAAUCACAAAAGAGAAAAAAAAAAUGUAUAUUUCAAAACUGAGAAAUGGAGUACCCAUUUAGCACUCAAAAUAAUUCUACUCAAUUCAAUUUUUCAUCCAACAAGAAAUCGAAUACCCAUCUAAACAUUCAAAAUUACUCUAUAUGCUUAGUACAAUAUUUCAUUCAAAGUAAGUGCCAAAUAUAAGUCUAAAGUUUAAGGAAACAUUUUAAGGCUUUUUAAAUAACAAUUUUUUUAUUUAAAUAAAUAAUUAUAGAAUAUUAAUUGUCUUAGAAAAUAGAAACUCUCAUCACAAAAUCUCGCAUUAUGUUCUAAAAUGUUUCUAGUAAAAUCUUCAACUUUAAUAAUUGCCUUCUAACUUGAAGUUGGACAACGGAUAAAUUCAAAUAGAGAAUGACUCACUCAGUGAUUAAAAUCCCUUAAUCAUAAGUGCAGCAAUUUUGUUUGAAACUUAUUAUAUUCUUUAGAAUAUGUAGCUAUUUCACAAUAACACAUUGAAAAUAAUUCGUUUUGUUGUGUUCAAUUUAUCAUGAAGUAAUAUAAAUUAAAGACUCUAGUAUCCUAAUUACCUAGAAAAAUAUGUAUAACAUUGAAUCAUAGGCAUGGUCUAAAAAAAAUGAAUGAAAGGGUAUACCUAUAUUAGAAUAAGAAUCUCUAAAUCCUAUAGUUGUAAGCUUUAAUUCCUUUGCCUAAGAUAAUAUUUUUUUUUUAUCACAAACCAAAUAACUUAAAAUAGAAGGAAUUAAUUUUUUUAUAAAAAAUAAACAAAUAAGGGAAAAUGCAUGCGUAUAAGAAGAAAUAAAGUUAUAAUAUGAAGACAAGGUAUGAAGACAUGGCAAGAAUAAAGAUAGAUAGCUUGCAAGUGAUUUAUGUGGGGAAGGCAAAGAAAUAAGUACCGGUGGUUUGACCAUAGAGAGAUGUUGCCAGAACAUGCUAUCUACCCAAGGUUACUGAUCAUCUUAUAGACAAAGAAUCAAACAUGAGAAGAAAACCUUGUAGAAGAUAGAUAAUCUAUUGUUAACAGUUCUGAUUAUUACCAUCACCUUUAAGAAGUUCUCAAAUCAAAUCCUAACACCUUCCUCAUCAAUGACUAACGUCACAGUUUCUACAGCCUAUGCCAAAUUUUGAACAUCCUACAAUUUCAAUAGCAGUAUAAUCCACCCCCAUUCUAGCUCCCAUUAUGAUUUUAGCAUCUCAAUGCUCCAAUCAUUUGAAAAUAUCUCAAUUAUUUUAGUUUCAGCCCUUCCAUUUAUGUGGUUCCAAACACUUAGACAUCAUGUUGAAGAUUGAAAUCUCUAAUUAAAUAUUAAAAUAAAAAAAAUAACGUUAAUAUUAAAGUAAAAUGAAGAAUGAAUUCUAAAAUCUAUUCUCAAUUUGUCAUAUUUUCUCUAAUUAAUUUAAAAAUCACAAGAUGAUUUAAUUUCUCUAAGAAAGUAUUCUAAAACAAGGAGUUGAGAAAUUUAAAACACUAUUUUCCUUAACCAAAUAAUAUUUUCUCAAAAUAAUCAAAUUUGCAUUCUUAAAAUCAAAUGACAUAAACAAAUCACCCUAUUCUUGAAAGUGCCAUCAUAAUUCACAUUCUACAACCCAAGUUAACAAGACCAUAUGAUGUCAUCUCAAAGGCAUAUGAGGUGGCCACACUUUUAUCCCUAAUUCAUGAUUUAAUAUAAAAGGACUAGCUCCUUAUUUACUACAAAUUAAUAAAUAAACUGAUGGAGACUUGCUUUAAUUUAAUGUAUACUCCAACUGAAAGAAAGAGAUAUGCAAUGUGAGAACUUCUUAAGCAUAGGAAAUACCCAAUGCUCGGGAAGCCCUGACACCACCACAAUCUAGACUUGGCCCUAAAAAAGUUUCAAAAAUGAUUAAUUAAAGUUCAAAAUAAAUUUAUAAAUAUAAUCUACAUGAAAAAAAUUUCUACGGUUUAUUACUAGAGUUUAAUUAUUUUAGAACAUUGAAUAAAUAAAUAGAAAUAAGAUCUCAAAAUAUAGUGAAUACCAAAAAAAUAAUAAAAAUAAUUUUCUUACUACAAUUUAUUUCACAAUGUAUAAUAAAUUACAAAUACUAAAAAUAAAUGUACAAAUAAGAAACUUAAAAUGAAUAAACAAAAACUAUACUUAGGUCAUCACAUCUCCAUUAUUAAUAUUCCAAAAGCUUAAGAAAAAAAGAGAAAUAAAUGAAUUUUUGUGAUUACUUCAAAGAUUCUAGUAUCAACAAAAUUAGGAAAAAAAAUCAUGUUUAACUAUCAUAAUCUAAAAUCCUACCAAAACAUAAAACAACAACAAUAAUAAUAAUAACAAAUCAAUUGAGCAUCAAUUCUUUUUCCUGCCCAAAACCUCUCACUUUUAUGCCAAAAACAAAAAGCCCACAAUACUCUCCACUACCUAAUAAAAAAAAAAGGCAUAAAAAAGAGAGACCCCACUGCACCCUCACUCCUCUUUCUUUCUUUCCUUCCUCCGUAGAAUACCCACAAUGAUUUUUCCUAUCUAGAAAACCCCUCAUCCAUAGUCUUUUGCUCUAUCGAGCUUCUUCACCUAACCUCAUAUUACUCUUCUCCUCAAUUUUUACCUCUCGUAAUCUAACCUAAAAUACCCACACAUAAUGCCCUCAUCAUUCUUUCCACAAACUCCUUCCCUCAUAGCUUUCCCAACCUUAGAUCUUCACAAUGCCUCUGCACAACUAAUAAUGGUGCAUGCAAAAGUAAUGCAAUCUACUACUAAUAAUAGUGCUUUCCUAAAGGUCAAAUACCAGCAUGAUCCCACUAAUUUGUCUUAUUUUUUCUUCAUUCAGUCCAAACUAUUUAUUAGAGGAUACAAGUGAUUCAAGCCCCUUAUUCUUAUGCUUCUUCACCACCAUAGAAAAAAUACCAACUAUUUUUUUUUUGAUAAAGAGAAUAAAAGAAAUUUCAACAACACCACACAUAUUCUAAUAAACAUUCAUAUCAAUUAUAGGCCUUUUGGCAAAAUUCAAAAUUGAUUAUUGCAAUGUUUAACAUGAAAAAUGUAAAGACAAAAUGGUUGUAGAUCUCCAAAUUGUGAUAGUUUCUCAAAAAACUGAAACUUAAAUAGGGCUCCAACCUAUCUCUUAAUCCUAAAUCUCAUAUAUCUAAAGAAAUCCAUCCAUAAGAGACUAGAUAAAGAACAAGUAACAGAAAAUUAGAAAGAAUUCCAUUAUGUUUCCUGUUUUAUACAUUUUUGAGGCAUUGGGAAUCAACAUUGAAAUGGGAAUUUAC